RNAcentral lists this long non-coding RNA (520 nucleotides) under Nicotiana benthamiana. RNAcentral describes it as "long non-coding RNA (NBEN_LNC011726)". Lineage: Eukaryota; Viridiplantae; Streptophyta; Magnoliopsida; Solanales; Solanaceae. The record is from RNAcentral.
CACCCGUAUCCGUACUAGGAUCCAUAUCCCCGAAUAUUAAAAUUUACAUCUUGAAGGAUCCGACCUCUAGAUCCGCACCAGUGUCGGACACCCGCACCCAUGUCCGAGCAACUUAGCUACAAACCUGAUACUAGACCUUUAGAUUCGCACCCGUGUCGGACACCCGCACCCAUGUCCGAGCAACUUAGCAGGUCACCACUGCCACUAAGCAGUUUUUCACCUCAACCAGGAUGUUCAAACCUAUAAACUGUGCAACUAUUACCCUCAUUCCUAAACUGUCCAAACCAUCUACAGUCAAAGAGUACCUUCACCAAAUGGAUAAUGGAAUGUAUCUCAACAGUGAGCUUCUCUGUGCUAGUUAAUGGAGAGGCAACUGAACCAUUUGCUGUUGCUAGGGGGCUGAGGCAAGAGGACCCCAUUUCCCCCCUCCUAUUUGCUCUGGUCAUGGAGUAUUUAAGCAGAUCAUGCAACUCACUAAAAGAUGAUCCAGCAUACCAGUUCCACCCCAGAUGUAAANNNN